AUGGAGCCUGAUGUGUCCAUAGGAUAUUGUAUGCACUUGAGAGUUGAGAUUAAUGUGCUGCAACCUCUGUUUGAUGGCUUCACUAAUAAGAAGCAAGAUGGGUCCCAUGGAAGGGUAAGAUUUAGAUAUGAAAGGCUCCCUGAGUUUUGUCAUAUGUGUGGUGUUUUGGAUCACCAAAUUCGGAACUGUAGAAACCUAAAACAGGCUCUUAGUCCAUAAAACAAAGAGAAGAGGCAAGAAUACGACCACUGAAUGAGAGCUGGCUUGUUUUCUUCUCAAAACCACUCACCUCCUAGGAAGCAAUCUUAAGGGUUCCUUGAAGGUCCAUCUGCAAUGGCUGAGCAGAGCAAUGGGUGGUGCGUGAUUCUCAUGAUAAAGAAGCUAACUCGUUCAGAAGCUCUAAUCCUGAAGUUGUUCCUUCACCUACCACUCAAGAGCACUGUCAAAUUGAGGUACUCAGACGCACCAAAUGUCAAUUAUCCUUUGUCCUAGCAGACAACACCACGUCAAAUCUACCCUUUACUUUCUUUAAUUUUUAACCAAUCAAAUAAGAGAAUGUCAGUCUAAAACCUUACCCGUCAACUUUUCUUCCCAAAAACAUGCUAAGAGCUCCGAUGAGUGGAUCUCUCUCUUUGUUUUUUAAUCGAUCGUAGGCUGAUUUAGUUGGUAAGUUUGUUUAUAUCUCUGAAAAUAGCCCUAUUUUAUCCUUGGAAAACCUACCUGUUUGCCCAAGCUCUCCUCCUCUCUUUGAACCCAACUCACUCACAAACCCAAACACUCCCGAUGUUAAGCCCAAAAAAUCAAAAGCCUCUCCAAAAUUGAAACUCAAAGUCUUAUCCCAAAGAAAUAACCUUAUUGGUAAUGUUGAACUGUUUGGGAGUUCUAAAGGUCUUUCUCUAUGGUGGAAGGAUGACUAUCAGAAUUCUCCAAUAUUCUAAUCGUUGGAUUGACUUUUUAGUUUUGUCUCCCUCACAUUGGCAUUCUACGUUUAUGUAAGGGGAUCUUGAAGUUCAAGGAAGAGAGUUAUUUUUGAGUUCCACCAAGAACUUGGUUGUUAGGGAUGUUCCUUGGCUCUUAAUAGGUGAUUUCAAUAUUUGUAACUCAAUCUAGGAUAAAAGAGGAAGCAAGUUCAAUCAUGGUCUUGCUAGUCUUUAUAACAUAUUUUUUAUUGAGGCAGAGCUAGAUGAGAUCCAAUUCAGAGGCUAACAUUUCACCUAGACCAAUAAUUAGCAUGGGCAAGGCAAAAUCUUUGAACACAUAGACAAAGUUGUUGCAAAUUUUGAUUGGUUCCAUAUGUUCUCUUAUUAUCAAUUGUAUCAUGAUAAAUUCUUUGGAUCUGAUCAUAAGCUUUUGAUCCUCUAUCUUACUCCAAAAACCCGAAAACCUCCAAAGUCUUUUGCUUUUAAUAUGAGCUGGACUACUUCUGACGAUUGUGCUACUCUUAUCAAUACCCUUUAGUGUUUCUCGUCAUCUCAGGCAGACAUUUAGAAUAAACUGAAUUUUUGCAGAGAAGUUCUCCCCUAUUGGUCCAGUUAUGUGUUUGGGAAUUCUAAAAGAAAGAUUCAAGAACUCUCAGCUAAACUUGACUCCCUGCUAUCUAAUGACUAUGUUAAUCUUGUUGAAAUUGUCAAUGCUAGAAAUCAACUUCAAGAGCAAUAGAAGCUAGAGGAACUUUAUUGGUUUCAAAAUCACAGGUCGAUUGGUUGAUGUAUGGGGAUCGAAGCUUCAAAUUUUUCCAUUUGGCAUCCACUCAAAGACAACAACAAAACAGAAAUAGAGAUGGGACCUAGAUUGAAGAAGAAGAGGCAAUAAGAAGGGAAGUUUUGAAUUUCUUUUCCCAGAUCUUAACCAUCGCUGCGAGGGAAAUUCUAGAAGCAAACUUAUAUACCAUUCCCUCCUUUGUCAUUGAUGUGAUUAAUGAAGCUCUGUGUGCUAGGUUUUGGAGGAAGAGGUUUGAUUUGCAGCAUUUAGCUUAGGAGCUCAUAAGGCCCCAAAGGCUGAUGGCUUUCGAGACCUAUUUUUUCAUAAAUAUUGGGAGGUGGUGCAUGGGGAUGUGUUCAAAAUGGUUGCCAACUUUUUUCAAUUAGGAGAGUUUCCUCUUAAGUUAAAUAACACAAACAUUGUUCUUGUCGCAAAACAAAAGCACUAUGUAUUUCUGGGAGAUUAUUGAUCUAUUAGCUUGUGUAAUUUCUCCUAUAAGAUUAUCUCAAAGGUGUUGACUAAUUGCUUGAAGCCAUGGCUAAACUCUCUAAUAUCUCCUUUACAAUCGCUUUUGUUUCUAAUUGGAGUAUUUAGGACAAUAUAUUUAUUGCUUAUGAGGAUUCCAUGGCCUAAAAUACCUAAAGAGAGGAAAAAAAGGAGCCAUGGCAAUUAAGGUGGACAUCCAUAAAGCAUAUGACAAAGUUGACUAGGGUUUCCUAGAAGCAGUCACAAGGAAGAUGGGGUUUGAUGAACGGUGGAUUUUCUAGAUUAUUCAGUGCAUCACAUAGGUGGAAUACUCCAUCAUUAUUAAUGGUUCCAAAAGCACCCUCUUCCGACGCUCAUGUGGCCUUCGUAAAGGUAUCUUAUAUCACCCAAUUUUUUUCCUUUUGAUCUUUAUUGUGCUAGCUAGAUGUAUAGAGCAAACUCUUCAGAAUUCUAUUCGAGGUUAUAAGAUCAAAAGACAUUGUUCACCUUUAACCCACCUCCUUUUGCCAAUGACAUUUUUCUCUUCGGGCAAGCAUCUUUGGAGGAAGCAAUCCGAAUUGUGAAAAUUUUAGAAGCCUUUAGUUCAGCCUUGGAUUUGUUUAUCAAUAGAACAAAAUCUGAUAUUUCUUUUAGCCCAAUAUCCCUCUGGAUAUCUGAAGAUAAGUAACUAAUAGAUUACAAAUUUGAAGUGUUAGAGUAUGAAUAUAGUUUGUAUAUAAUUAAAGGAGAUUAUAUAAUCAUAGACUAAUUGAUACUGAUCCACUGAUAGAGGAUUCUUAGGAGUUGCCUUAACAAGGUCUUAUAAUCUGAAUAUAAACGCCCUUACUUCAAUAGAAAAAAUACAUAGAAAUUGUCAAAUUAUUCCUUAUCUUGUUAUAUGGUAUUAGAGUCUUAGGCUCGAUUAGGUCUCUGUUUUCUUCAUUUUGGCUUCUGCUAGUUGUGGGUUUUGGCUUCUGUUAGUCGUGGGUCACUAUUUCUGAUGGUCGUUGGAUCUUACCACUGUUAAAGGGAGGAGCGCACCUCUGUUUAUAGCCCAUCCCCAUAAUCCGAUGACCAUCUGGACAGCACGUGAGCUUCACACGCUGAGUUUCUAUUUCGGUUUCUCCUUCAUGUGCCAGCAAGUGUAGGCGCUUGAGACCUCUGGUGGGCCUCCGAUCUUCUUUCUGAGUUUUGCUGCCAUAUUUUUGUCCAUUUUCCAGUCAUCCUUCGGUCAUUGGAGCUUGUGCAGUAGGGUCCUUCAUUGGUUGGGAGCUAUACAGGUUCUUUUCUUUCAGUUCAAGCCUAUUUUUUGGCUUUUUAAUCUUAGGUGCAUUAUUUUGUGGCCUGGUUUUGUGUCUUGAAUCUGGAAGAAGGGUUUUGUGAAGUGAUUAUUUUAGCUUGAAUUGGUUAAAAUGGCGUACAAUAGUAAGUCUCAUGUUAGUGAAAAUUGCAAGAAACUGCAAAAUAAGAAUUGAAAAACUGCUAAUGUUGUUGCAUCUAGAUCUUCCUCUGAGAAUACCAUUCUUAUCUCAGUUGAAGAAUAUACUCAGUAUCAUAAUUUGUUGAGAGGGUCCAUCCCAAUAACUGCUAAUACUAAGUUAGGUAAAACUUACUUUAUCUCCUCCUCGCAUAAAUGGGUCAUUGAUUUUCGGUGCCAUGAAUCACAUGACAGAUAAUCCUCACACAUGGGUCAACAUAUAAUGUUAAGGGUUCUGGGACUGUUAAACCUACUUCUUCUAUUACUCUAUCACUUGUGCUAAAUUUACCAAAUUUUGCCUUUAAUUUAAUAUCUGUGAGUAAAUUUAGCAAAGUCCUAAAUUGUUGUAUUUCUUUUUUUCCUGAUCAUUGUCUUAUUCAGGAUUUUAUGACGAAGCAGAUUAUUGAUAAAGGACAUGUAUCUGGG
This 4069-nucleotide long non-coding RNA is filed under the name Manihot esculenta (cassava). RNAcentral describes it as "long non-coding RNA (MESC_LNC001757)". The record is from RNAcentral. Lineage: Eukaryota; Viridiplantae; Streptophyta; Magnoliopsida; Malpighiales; Euphorbiaceae.